GUCGCAGUGCGGCUCGUGGCCGCAGCUGUCUGAAAGGGCAGAGGGACAAGUAUACGCAUGCGUCUAUUCCUAGGCUGCUCGCUCUCAGACCCGCAGUGAGGUCUGACGUCAUUUCCUGCCGAAAGAUGAAUGGGAGGGCUGAUUUUCGAGAGCCGAAUGCAGAGGUUCCAAGACCAAUUCCCCACAUAGGGCCUGAUUACAUUCCAACAGAGGAAGAAAGGAGAGUCUUCGCAGAAUGCAAUGAUGAAAGCUUCUGGUUCAGAUCUGUGCCUUUGGCUGCAACAAGUAUGUUGAUUACUCAAGGAUUAAUUAGUAAAGGAAUACUUUCAAGUCAUCCCAAAUAUGGUUCCAUCCCUAAACUUAUACUUGCUUGUAUCAUGGGAUACUUUGCUGGAAAACUUUCUUAUGUGAAAACUUGCCAAGAGAAAUUCAAGAAACUUGAAAAUUCCCCCCUUGGAGAAGCUUUACGAUCAGGACAAGCACGACGAUCUUCACCACCUGGGCACUAUUAUCAAAAGUCAAAAUAUGACUCAAAUGUGAGUGGUCAAUCAUCUUUUGUGACAUCCCCAGCAGCAGACAACAUAGAAAUGCUUCCUCAUUAUGAGCCAAUUCCAUUCAGUUCUUCUAUGAAUGAAUCUGCUCCCACUGGUAUUACUGAUCAUAUUGUCCAAGGUAGAAACUUCUCUUGAAAUGAAUUUCAACAUUUUAUGGUCCAACGUAUGUAUAAACUUUAUUUGAUGACCUUUUCUGCUGGAUAUCACCUGUGUGUUCUACCAUCAAUCAUCAACCUAAACUCAGCAUGUUUGUUCAUUUGUUUCUUCAUUCAUUCAACUUUUCUUGAGGACCAGUAGGUGUCAAGGACUCUGCUAGACGUGGAAGAAGAUGAAUAACACUUGGUUCUUGUCCCUGAAAAACUCUCAGUCUGUUAGAAGAUAUAGAAAUACAAGGAUGAAUUACUAGUAUGUCCCAGUAAUUGAAAAUACUAAGGCAAGCUUAGUGGAAUAGUGAAGAAGAAAUGAUAAAUCGUGUCUCAGGAAGUAGAGCUCCAGGAAAGGUAUAAAAAGGUUACAUUUGAUAGGCUGGGUUUUAAAGGCUUUCAGCUUCCUUGUCUGUAAUACAAGAAAGAACUGUUGUCAAGUGAGAAAAUCCAUGUGAAAAUGCUUUGUGAAGUUUGUAAAUACUAGCUUUGAAGAUCACACAUGUAAGUGCAACAACAUCAAUUUUGUAUUAAGGCUUGGAUUUGAAUCAUGAUUGACAUUUGCUAGCUAUGUGACCUUGUAAUACUACUACUACAUUAUAAUAAUGUAGUAAUAUUAUUAUAACUACUUUAUGAUCCUUUCAGUUUCUUGAUCAGUUGAAUGGAGAUGAUAAUACCUCUCUUAAUGAACUGUUGGAAUUAGAGGAAAUAAUCAGAAGCAAUGUCUGGCAAAUAAUAGACUCAAAAAACAUUAGUUUCUUUCAUUCAGUCUAGUCGGCCGUAAAAGAUGAGGAAUUAGAAACGGGAAAUACAGGUCUAUAAUUCUUUAUCUAAAAUCCUGAAAUUCAGAAAGGUUUAAGCCAAGUUUUUUUUUGUUUGUUUGUUUUUUGUUUUUUGUUUUUUUUUGAGAGGGAGUCUUGCUGUGUCGCCCAGUCUGGACUGUAGUGGUGCGAUCUCGGCUCACUGCAACCUCCGCCCCCCGGCUUCACGCCAUUCUGCCUCAGCUUCCUGAGUAGCUGGGACUGCAGGUGCCCGCCACCACGCUCAGCUAAUUUUUUGUAUUUUUAGUAGAGAUGGGUUUUCACUGUGUUGGCCAGGAUGGUCUUGAUCUCCUGACCUCGUGAUCCGCCCGCCUCGGCCUUCCAAAGUGCUGGUAUUAUAGGCGUGAGCCAUUGUGCCUGGCCUAUUUUCAGUAUUUUUGUUUAAAUUUCGUAAAAUGGUAAAAUAAAUGAUUUUUGAAAAUAGCUGGUUUUCAUAGAGUCUGUGGUUAUAGGACUAUUUAACUAUAUAUUGAGUAAAAUCUAUGCUAUGUCAAGUUUUAUUCAGUUGUCCCUAGUAGAAUAUAUUUCUCUUUUAAUUCUGUAUACAGUAUGAGUAACUCCAGUUUAAAACACUGGUAUUUUAAUGAGUUUAAAUUGUACUGUUAUAUAUUAUGAUACAUAUUUUUCUUCUGGCUGUGGUUUAGUUUUUAAAAUUUUUGAUAUCCAUUUUAAUUUUUAGAAAUAAAAGCUUAAAAAUAUAGGUGGAAGUAGAUUUCAGUUUGAUAAUUAUCUUGGUGAAAGUAUAGUACCUGUGAAAUGGUGGUAAUAAUUUGAUUCUUUAUUCUAUUUUGAUUGUAGCUCCUUACAAAUGUAAGGAGCAUUUGUAAAAUUUAGUUGCUUUAGAGUUAUACAAAUCCUUUUAUUACCAUUUAUUAACUGUUUGUUGUUUUAGGACCUGAUCCCAACCUUGAAGAAAGUCCUAAAAGAAAAAA
RNA transcript from Gorilla gorilla gorilla (western lowland gorilla), 2450 nucleotides. It is a transcript of the gene named OCIA domain containing 1, with no coding region annotated. NCBI's taxonomy places the organism in Eukaryota, Metazoa, Chordata, Mammalia, Primates, Hominidae. The transcript has 8 exons. The record is from RefSeq and is a predicted model, not a curated record.